Molecule: long non-coding RNA, 1031 nt
Filed under: Nicotiana benthamiana
Lineage: Eukaryota; Viridiplantae; Streptophyta; Magnoliopsida; Solanales; Solanaceae
Description: long non-coding RNA (NBEN_LNC026692)
Source: RNAcentral
CGGUCCAAUGCGGCAACUCACAAUCACACAUUUCCCAAAGCAAAAGGGAUAAAACACACAGGAAAAGAGAAAAUAAUGAGUAACUGUGAAACAAGCUUAGUCAUAAUCUGUAGUACCUUAUAUGUCAAGAUAACACCGAUAGACGAGAAACACUUCGAGAAAUUAUACGUUCACAAUCUCUGAGAGACAUUGAUGACCUAAAUUAAAGAAAAAGUGUUACUUGAUUUUCACCGAGACAGUCAAACUUUGUUUUUGUGCUUCAUCUAUUAUAUUACUGCGGUAUCAAUGGCUAAAAAGGUAAAAUGAUGAAGAAGUCAUACCAUUUUUGUAGUCUCAAGUUAUAUAAAAAAGAAAAAAAGAAGAAAGAAAAAAAGGGAAGCACAUUGUAGUUAGAACUUAGGAAGUCAUAGGUUCUCUCUCUCUUAUUUUCUUUUCAAUCCGCUAGGCAAAUGCCUAGGGCUAAAUUUUAUAAUAAUAAUAAAAAAACACAAAAAUAAUUACAUACUCUUGAGUUCUUACGAGAUUAGAGAAAUAAAAUUAGACAAUUAUAUUUAUCAUAUUACCAACGUUGAGUAGUAUACUUAGAUUUGAUAUCACAACUGAAGACUAUACUUAAAAUUUGGUGUCAAUCGUAUUAAUUGUACACUAACUUCAUACUUUGUCUACCAUACACUUGCAAUGGAUCAUUUCCUGCCUCCAGAGAAAGAGCACCAAGUAUUAAUAUCGAUAUACCCAUGUUUCAACUUGACAAUAGCAUCCAUGAAAUGACCAUGUGCGAGUAAAUCAUGAGAGGAGCUAUGAUUUAUCGUGAAAAUCCAAUUGAAAAUGUAGCCUCAAUCGACCAAACUUGCCACGCAUGCACGAUGAAGAAACGGUCGAAACUCAUUAGGAACAGCUUAGAAACUCAUGUCAUGAGAAGCAAAGCCAAAGAAAGUGCUCAAAAAUACUAGAUAACAAAAUGAGUAAAUCGUAUCUUUUUGGACUUUGGGUUGCAAAUGGCUAAUUCGGGCAUGUUUCACGUGCCCCAAUCU